AUUGAACGCUGGCGGCAUGCUUUACACAUGCAAGUCGAGCGGUAACAGGCCUUCGGGUGCUGACGAGUGGCGCACGGGUGAGUAAUGCAUCGGAACGUACCCAGAGGUGGGGGAUAACGCAGCGAAAGCUGUGCUAAUACCGCAUGUGAUCUGAGGAUGAAAGCGGGGGACCGAGCAGCAAUGUUUGGCCUCGCGCCUUUGGAGCGGCCGAUGUCGGAUUAGCUAGUUGGUGGGGUAAAGGCCUACCAAGGCGACGAUCCGUAGCUGGUCUGAGAGGACGAACAGCCACACUGGGACUGAGACACGGCCCAGACUCCUACGGGAGGCAGCAGUGGGGAAUUUUGGACAAUGGGCGCAAGCCUGAUCCAGCAAUGCCGCGUGCGGGAAGAAGGCCUUCGGGUUGUAAACCGCUUUUGGCAGGAACGAAACGGUGUCCGCUAAUACCGGGCGCUAAUGACGGUACCUGCAGAAUAAGCACCGGCUAACUACGUG
RNAcentral lists this ribosomal RNA (492 nucleotides) under uncultured bacterium. RNAcentral's name for it is "partial 16S ribosomal RNA". It matches the Rfam family "Bacterial small subunit ribosomal RNA", at positions 29 to 507 of the family's 1533-position model. The record is from RNAcentral.